Molecule: unclassified non-coding RNA, 350 nt
Filed under: plant metagenome
Description: partial contains 5.8S ribosomal RNA, internal transcribed spacer 2, and large subunit ribosomal RNA
Rfam family: 5.8S ribosomal RNA (bases 1-105)
Source: RNAcentral
GAAAUGCGAUAAGUAAUGUGAAUUGCAGAAUUCAGUGAAUCAUCGAAUCUUUGAACGCACCUUGCACUCCUUGGUAUUCCGAGGAGCAUGCCUGUUUGAGUGUCAUGGAAUUCUCAACUCUAUUUGCUUUUGUGAAUAGAGCUUGGAUUUGGAGGUUUAUUGCUGGUACUUGUGAUCGGCUCCUCUUGAAUGCAUUAGCUCGAACCUUUGCGGAUCAGCUAUCGGUGUGAUAAUUGUCUACGCCGUUGCAGUGAAGCAUAUCAAUGGGCUCGGCUUCCAAUCGUCCUUUACUGGACAAUGACUUUGACCUUUGACCUCAAAUCAGGUAGGAUUACCCGCUGAACUUAAGC